CACCUGUUCCCAUACCGAACACAGAAGUUAAGCUCUUCAGCGCCGAUGGUAGUUGGGGCAUAGCCCCUGCAAGAGUAGGACGUUGCCAGGC
Molecule: ribosomal RNA, 91 nt
Filed under: Cerasibacillus quisquiliarum
Lineage: Bacteria; Bacillati; Bacillota; Bacilli; Caryophanales; Bacillaceae
Source: RNAcentral